UCGGUCCUACGGGAGGCAGCAGUGAGGAAUAUUGGUCAAUGGGCGGGAGCCUGAACCAGCCAAGCCGCGUGAGGGAAGAAGGUACAGCGUAUCGUAAACCUCUUUUGUCAGGGACCAAAGACGGGGACUAGUCCCCGGAUGAGGGUACCUGAAGAAAAAGCAUUGGCUAACUCCGUGCCAGCAGCCGCGGUAAUACGGAGGAUGCGAGCGUUAUCCGGAUUUAUUGGGUUUAAAGGUUGCGCAGGCGGCCUGUUAAGUCAGCGGUAAAAGCCCGGGGCUCAACCCCGGCGAGCCGUUGAAACUGG
Molecule: ribosomal RNA, 305 nt
Filed under: uncultured bacterium
Lineage: Bacteria
Description: bacterial SSU rRNA
Rfam family: Bacterial small subunit ribosomal RNA
Source: RNAcentral